Molecule: long non-coding RNA, 963 nt
Organism: Carassius gibelio (silver crucian carp)
Lineage: Eukaryota; Metazoa; Chordata; Actinopteri; Cypriniformes; Cyprinidae
Exons: 2
Source: RefSeq, a predicted model, not a curated record
UGUGCUUCUCAAAAAAUUUGAAUGUAAUGGAAAAGUUCUUUAUUUUUUUGCUUUAAUUCAGAUGGUUAUUACUUACACAGGAAAAUUAAACAUUUAAUAAAAUAUAUAUUUUUUUUACAAAACAGAAAUUUUCAAGAUCUCCGAAGCAUUAUGCACUCAAUACUUGGUUGGGGCUCUUUUUGCACGAAUUACUGCUUCAAUGCAGCAUGGCAUGGAGAUGUUACUCAUCUUCCUCUUCACAAUACUUCAUUUAUUCUCUGUGAGGUUCAGUUCAAGUGAGUCGUCUGGCUAAUCAAGCAAAAUUAAAAUCAGCAUCUCCAUAAAGCUUGUCAGCAGAUGUAAGCAUAAAGUGCUCCAAAAUCUCCUGGUAGAUUGACUUUGGACUUGAUAAAACACAAUGGACCAACACCAGCAGACGUCAUGGCACCUAGAUCAUUCAGAAACUUCACACUGGACUUCAAGCAGCUUGGAUUCUGUGCCUCUCCAUUCUUCCUCCAGACUCCAGACCUUAAUUUCCAAAUGAAAUGCUAAACUUACUUUAAAGGUGUUUUUCUCAAUAUUUACAUUUUUUUACACCCUCAGAUUCCAGAUUUUCAAAUAACUGUAUUUCGGCCAAAUCACAUCAAUGGAAAGCUUAUUUAUUCAGCUUUCAGAUGAUUAAUCUAAAACUGCUGGAAAUGGGAUAAUUAUGCAGAACAUGUUGGCAAAUCAAAAAGAAAAGUGCAGGAGCUGGACGAUUUUUCUGAAGAACAGCAGUCAGUUUAACUGUUAAGGACAAAUAAGGGACUCUUGAACAACUAUGACAAAACAUAAAAACAGUCAUAGAUCAUCCAGGAAAUGACACACAGCAUUAAUGUUCAAGGGUAUGUAAACAUUUGAACGGUGGAGUAUAUUUAAACAUCUGUUACUGUAUGUGAAAUAGCUUAUUCAAGACCGUACCAAAAAUAAAAAAAUAACAUGCAA